Molecule: transfer RNA, 72 nt
Filed under: Phrynosoma platyrhinos (Desert horned lizard)
Lineage: Eukaryota; Metazoa; Chordata; Lepidosauria; Squamata; Phrynosomatidae
Description: tRNA-OTHER
Source: RNAcentral
GCCAGUGUGGCAUAGUGGUUUGAACACUGGACUAUGACUCUGGAGACCAGGGUUUGAUUCUCCACUUGGCCA